AGCGAGGUAGAACAGCUAGGAGUGUUCGCUGGGCUCAUAACCCAGAGGUCGGUGGUUCAAAUCCACCCCUCGCUA
Molecule: transfer RNA, 75 nt
Filed under: Candidatus Woesearchaeota archaeon
Lineage: Archaea; Nanobdellati; Candidatus Woesearchaeota
Description: tRNA-Met
Rfam family: tRNA
About the family: Transfer RNA (tRNA) molecules are approximately 80 nucleotides in length.
Source: RNAcentral